Molecule: ribosomal RNA, 164 nt
Filed under: uncultured bacterium
Lineage: Bacteria
Description: partial 16S rRNA
Rfam family: Bacterial small subunit ribosomal RNA
Source: RNAcentral
UAGGGAAUCUUCGGCAAUGGACGAAAGUCUGACCGAGCAACGCCGCGUGAGUGAAGAAGGCUUUCGGAUCGUAAAACUCUGUUGGUAGAGAAGAACGUUGGUGAGAGUGGAAAGCUCAUCAAGUGACGGUAACUACCCAGAAAGGGACGGCUAACUACGUGCCA